RNAcentral lists this ribosomal RNA (510 nucleotides) under uncultured bacterium. Its description in RNAcentral is "bacterial SSU rRNA". It matches the Rfam family "Bacterial small subunit ribosomal RNA", at positions 24 to 518 of the family's 1533-position model. The record is from RNAcentral.
UCAGGAUGAACGCUAGCGAUAGGCCUAACACAUGCAAGUCGAGGGGCAUCACAUGAAGCAGCAAUGCGGAUGGUGGCGACCGGCGCACGGGUGAGUAACGCGUAUGCAAUCUACCUACAACAGGGGAAUAACCCGUUGAAAGACGGACUAAUGCCCCAUAAUACAGGGGUCCCGCAUGGGAAUAUUUGUUAAAGAUUUAUCGGUUGUAGAUGAGCAUGCGUUCCAUUAGCUGGUUGGUGAGGUAACGGCCCACCAAGGCAACGAUGGAUAGGGGAACUGAGAGGUUUAUCCCCCACACUGGUACUGAGACACGGACCAGACUCCUACGGGAGGCAGCAGUGAGGAAUAUUGCGCAAUGGGGAAACCCUGACGCAGCGACGCCCGCGUGAGCGAAGAAGGCCUUCGGGUUGUAAAGCUCUGUUGUAAGGGACGAAUGUCUAGGGUAGUAACUGACCUUAGAAUGACGGUACCUUACCAGCAAGCCCCGGCUAACUACGUGCCAGCCGCCGC